AAGCUCGUAGUUGAAUUUCGAGCUUGACAAACGGUCUUGGCUCUGCCUAGUACUAUUCUGUUGAGCUCUUCCUUCUAGGGAACUAGAGUGCCUUUAAUUGGGUGUUUUAGGGAACUAGGGCUUUUACUGUGAAAAAACUUAGAGUGUUUAAAGCAGGCUUACGCUUGAAUACAUUAGCAUGGAAUAAUAGAAUAGGACUUUGGUUCUAUUUUGUUGGUUUCUAGGACCAAAGUAAUGAUUAAUAGGGAUAGUUGGG
This 256-nucleotide ribosomal RNA is filed under the name uncultured Chytridiomycota. RNAcentral's name for it is "partial 18S ribosomal RNA". It matches the Rfam family "Eukaryotic small subunit ribosomal RNA", at positions 624 to 886 of the family's 1831-position model. The record is from RNAcentral. Lineage: Eukaryota; Fungi; Chytridiomycota.